UACGAAGGGGGCUAGCGUUGCUCGGAAUUACUGGGCGUAAAGCGCACGUAGGCGGCUCUUUAAGUCGGGUGUGAAAGCCCCGGGCUCAACCUGGGAAUUGCAUUCGAGACUGCGUAGCUAGGGUGCGGAAGAGGGAAGCGGAAUUUCCGGUGUAGCGGUGAAAUGCGUAGAUAUCGGAAGGAACACCAGUGGCGAAAGCGGCUUCCUGGUCCAGCACCGACGUUCAGGCACGAAAGCGUGGGGAGCAAACAGG
RNAcentral lists this ribosomal RNA (253 nucleotides) under uncultured bacterium. RNAcentral describes it as "partial 16S ribosomal RNA". It matches the Rfam family "Bacterial small subunit ribosomal RNA", at positions 524 to 776 of the family's 1533-position model. The record is from RNAcentral.